RNAcentral lists this ribosomal RNA (1601 nucleotides) under Ruminococcus sp. AM29-5AC. RNAcentral's name for it is "bacterial LSU rRNA". It matches the Rfam family "Bacterial large subunit ribosomal RNA", at positions 1 to 1616 of the family's 2925-position model. The record is from RNAcentral. Lineage: Bacteria; Bacillati; Bacillota; Clostridia; Eubacteriales; Oscillospiraceae.
UUGGUUAUGCUGAUAAGAGCGUAUGGUGGAUGCCUUGGCACUAAGAGCCGAUGAAAGACGUGAUAAGCUGCGAAAAGCUUCGGGGAGGAGCAAAUAUCCUUUGAUCCGGAGAUUUCUGAAUGGGGAAACCUACUUGAGCAAACCUCAAGUAUCCUUAAGCCAAUACAUAACUUAAGGAAGGGAACCCGGUGAACUGAAACAUCUAAGUAGCCGGAGGAAGAGAAAACAACAUGUGAUUCUGUGAGUAGCGGCGAGCGAAAACGGAAGAGCCCAAACCAGCGUGCGUGCAUGCUGGGGUUCGGACCGCGGAAUUGAUUCAACAAGUUUAGCAGAACGGUUUUGGGAAAGCCGGCCAGAGAGGGUGAAAGCCCCGUAAGCGAAAGACGAGUUGACAUGGCGGGAUCCAGAGUACCACGAGACACGUGGAACCUUGUGGGAAGAUGCGGGGACCACCCCGUAAGGCUAAAUACUACUUAGUGACCGAUAGCGCAUAGUACUGUGAAGGAAAGGUGAAAAGGACCCCGGGAGGGGAGUGAAAAAGAACCUGAAACCAUAUGUUUACAAGCUGUGGAAGAGCUUUAUAUGCUCAACCGCGUACUUUUUGUAGAACGGUCCGGCGAGUUACGCUGGCUGGCGAGGUUAAGGACUAAAGGUCCGGAGCCGAAGGGAAACCAAGUCUGAAUAGGGCGCAUAGUCAGUCGGAGUAGACCCGAAACCGGGUGAUCUAUCCAUGUCCAGGUUGAAGUUGCCGUAAAAGGCAAUGGAGGACCGAACCCACAUCCGUUGAAAAGGGUGGGGAUGAGGUGUGGAUAGGGGAGAAAUUCCAAUCGAACCCGGAGAUAGCUGGUUCUCCUCGAAAUAGCUUUAGGGCUAGCCUCAUACGAGUCUUGCGGAGGUAGAGCACUGAAUUCCUAAGGGGGCGUCAAAGCUUACUAAGGGAUAUCAAACUCCGAAUGCCGUGUAGAUGAUGUAUGGGAGUCAGACGAUCCGAGAUAAGUUGGGUGGUCAAAAGGGAAAGAGCCCAGACCAACAGCUAAGGCCCCAAAAUGUGUGUUAAGUGGAAAAGGAUGUGGGAUUUCGAAGACAACUAGGAUGUUGGCUCAGAAGCAGCCAUUCAUUCAAAGAGUGCGUAAUAGCUCACUAGUCGAGAGGUCCUGCGCCGAAAAUGUCCGGGGCUAAAACACACUGCCGAAGCUUUGGAAUUGAAUUAAUUCAAUUGGUAGAGGAGCAUUCUUAAAGGGACGAAGCAGUACCGUAAGGAGCUGUGGACUUUUAAGAAGAGAGAAUGCCGGAAUGAGUAGCGAGAGGAAGGUGGGAAUCCUUCCGGCCGAAUAUCUAAGGUUUCCAGAGUAAAGCUGAUCUGCUCUGGGUAAGUCGGGGCCUAAGGCGAGGUCGAAAGACGUAGUCGAUGGAUAACAGGUUGAAAUUCCUGUACUAUCCUGUAACAGAACUGUGGGGACACAGGCAGAGAGCGUGAGCCGGGAAUGGAAAGACCGGUACAAGCGAGGUAGGAGUCUGGUUGGCAAAUCCGCCAGGCAAUCCGAAGACGUGAUGUGGACUGAAAAUAAGUAGGGAAGCACGUGAGCUGACUGUCAAGAAAA